AGCGGCGUACGGGUGAGUAACACGUGGGUGAUCUACCUCUGGGUGGGGAAUAACGCUGGGAAGCCGGCGCUAAUACCGCAUAAGCCAGUCUCUUGGAAGGGACCUGGGAAAGGAGCAAUCCGCCGGGAGAGGAGCCCGCGGCCGAUUAGUUAGAUGGCGGGGUAACAGCCCACCAUGACUGAGAUCGGUAGCCGGCCUGAGAGGGCACACGGCCACACUGGCACUGAAACACGGGCCAGACUCCUACGGGAGGCAGCAGUGGGGAAUCUUGCACAAUGGGGGAAACCCUGGUGCAGCGACGCCGCGUGAGCGAUGAAGCCCUUCGGGGUGUAAAGCUCUUUCGGCAGGGACGAUUAUGACGGUACCUGCAGAAGCAGCUGCGGCUAACUACGUGCCAGCAGCCGCGGUAAUACGUAGGCAGCAAGCGUUGUUCGGAAUUACUGGGCGUAAAGGGUGUGUAGGCGGUUUGGUAAGUCUGGUGUGAAAUCUCCCGGCUCAACUGGGAGGGUGCGCCGGAAACUGCCGGGCUUGGAGUGCGGGAGAGGAGAGUGGAAUUCCUGGUGUAGCGGUGAAAUGCGUAGAUAUCAGGAGGAACGCCGGUGGUGUAUACGGCUCUCUGCACCNUAACUGACGCUGAGACACGAAAGCGUGGGGAGCAAACAGGAUUAGAUACCCUGGUAGUCCACGCCCUAAACGAUGCACAUUUGGUGUGGGCAGUUCAGUCUGUCCGUGCCGGAGCUAACGCGUUAAAUGUGCCGCCUGGGGAGUACAGUCGCAAGGCUGAGACUCAAAGGAAUUGACGGGGGCCCGCACAAGCGGUGGAGCAUGUGGUUCAAUUCGACGCAACGCGAAGAACCUUACCUGGGCUCGAACGGCCGGCCAACGGCGGUGGAAACAUCGCUACCCCGCAAGGGGGUCCGGUCGAGGUGCUGCAUGGCUGUCGUCAGCUCGUGUCGUGAGAUGUUGGGUUAAGUCCCGCAACGAGCGCAACCCUCGUCCUGUGUUGCCACUCCGCAAGGAAGCACUCGCAGGAGACCGCCAGCGAUAAGCUGGAGGAAGGUGGGGAUGACGUCAAGUCCUCAUGGCCUUUAUGUCCAGGGCUACACACGUGCUACAAUGGCCGGUACAACGCGAAGCCAACCCGCGAGGGGGAGCCAAUCGCAAAAAACCGGUCUCAGUUCGGAUUGCAGGCUGCAACCCGCCUGCAUGAAGCUGGAAUCGCUAGUAAUGGCAGAUCAGCACGCUGCCGUGAAUACGUUCCCGGGCCUUGUACACACCGCCCGUCACAUCACGAAAGUGGGUUGUACUAGAAGCCCGCAGGCCAACCCGC
RNAcentral lists this ribosomal RNA (1330 nucleotides) under uncultured bacterium. RNAcentral's name for it is "16S ribosomal RNA". It matches the Rfam family "Bacterial small subunit ribosomal RNA", at positions 94 to 1443 of the family's 1533-position model. The record is from RNAcentral.